This is a non-coding RNA of Pelobates cultripes (western spadefoot toad), 947 nucleotides long. Lineage: Eukaryota; Metazoa; Chordata; Amphibia; Anura; Pelobatidae. The record is from the annotation of a GenBank genome assembly.
AUCACUUCAUUAAUAUAUUCAUGCAUAGAAUGCCCUCAUUAAUGGGAGCAAAUAGGUUUCAACAGUGCCAUCUAGUGGCAAAAAAGAGAUUACAAUUACAGAAAGUGGUUCACAAUAGCACCAUCUAGUGGCAGAAGAUUAUAGGUUAGUUCAGUCAGGUAGGUAGCCUUUGGUUCUACAUCUCCCCUGAUGCUUUGCCAGAAUAAUGGAUGUAAGUGUAUUAUGGGAAAUGAAGUCUGUCGGGAGUGUGAAGGUGGCCAUAUCUUUUCCCAUUGUUUUUCAAUGCAAUGUUCAUGUAGUUUUUAUUGCGUAUUUGCAGUCUGUUAGUAUUUUACGUGGGAUUAUUCAUUUUUGGGGAUAUAGAAUCUGUUGGGAAAACUUGUGCAUUUUAAAACAUGUUUAUUGCUCCCCGUUUCCCAUCUUUACAUACCUAACGCCAUCCCAUCUAGUCCAUGCAAUAUCUCCCAGUUAGCUUCCUUUAUAUCAUUCCUUACCAUCGUCCCCAAUUACCUCCUCAACCUCGUCAUAUUUUAGCAAUCUGUGCAAUGUUACCUUCAAACCUGCCCCAAGUCCCUUUCGUAAUCUUUAGAGCAAAACAAAACUACAACUCCCAUGAUGCGCUGCAUGCCUUCAGAAUGACAAAGCAACCUGGAAGCGGUUGUUUUAAAACAUCUGGGGAUCUACCUUUUGGAUACCCCCGCUUUAGAGUGUAAGCUCACGGUCCAUUUUGCUCAGUACUUGGUGUAAAUGCUAGAUCUGUAUUGCGUUGUGUAUACUGUACUGUCGGUAAUAAUAUUAAAGGAACACUAUAGUCACCUAAAUUACUUUAGCUAAAUAAAGCAGUUUUAGUGUAUAGAUCAUUCCCCUGCAAUUUCACUGCUCAAUUCACUGUCAUUUAGGAGUUAAAUCACUUUGUUUCUGUUUAUGCAGCCCUAGCCACACCUCCC